Molecule: transfer RNA, 85 nt
Filed under: subsurface metagenome
Description: tRNA-Leu
Rfam family: tRNA
About the family: Transfer RNA (tRNA) molecules are approximately 80 nucleotides in length. Their secondary structure includes four short double-helical elements and three loops (D, anti-codon, and T loops).
Source: RNAcentral
GCCGAAGUGGUGGAACUGGUAGACACGCUGUCUUGAGGGGGCAGUGGGAGUAAUCCUGUGCGGGUUCGAGUCCCGCCUUCGGCAC